GUAGGGUCCAAGCGUUAAUCGGAAUUACUGGGCGUAAAGCGUGCGCAGGCGGUUGUGCAAGACCGAUGUGAAAUCCCCGAGCUUAACUUGGGAAUUGCAUUGGUGACUGCACGGCUAGAGUGUGUCAGAGGGGGGUAGAAUUCCACGUGUAGCAGUGAAAUGCGUAGAGAUGUGGAGGAAUACCGAUGGCGAAGGCAGCCCCCUGGGAUAACACUGACGCUCAUGCACGAAAGCGUGGGGAGCAAACAGGAUUAGGUACCCUGGUAGUCCACGCCCUAAACGAUGUCUACUAGUUGUUGGUGGAGUAAAAUCCAUGAGUAACGCAGCUAACGCGUGAAGUAGACCGCCUGGGGAGU
RNAcentral lists this ribosomal RNA (356 nucleotides) under uncultured bacterium. Its description in RNAcentral is "bacterial SSU rRNA". It matches the Rfam family "Bacterial small subunit ribosomal RNA", at positions 527 to 881 of the family's 1533-position model. The record is from RNAcentral.